UUAAAUUGAAGAGUUUGAUCAUGGCUCAGAUUGAACGCUGGCGGCAGGCCUAACACAUGCAAGUCGAACGGUAACAGGAAGCAGCUUGCUGCUUUGCUGACGAGUGGCGGACGGGUGAGUAAUGUCUGGGAAACUGCCUGAUGGAGGGGGAUAACUACUGGAAACGGUGGCUAAUACCGCAUAACGUCGCAAGACCAAAGAGGGGGACCUUCGGGCCUCUUGCCAUCAGAUGUGCCCAGAUGGGAUUAGCUAGUUGGUGAGGUAACGGCUCACCAAGGCGACGAUCCCUAGCUGGUCUGAGAGGAUGACCAGCCACACUGGAACUGAGACACGGUCCAGACUCCUACGGGAGGCAGCAGUGGGGAAUAUUGCACAAUGGGCGCAAGCCUGAUGCAGCCAUGCCGCGUGUAUGAAGAAGGC
RNAcentral lists this ribosomal RNA (420 nucleotides) under Salmonella enterica subsp. enterica serovar Berta str. SA20103550. RNAcentral's name for it is "bacterial SSU rRNA". It matches the Rfam family "Bacterial small subunit ribosomal RNA", at positions 1 to 415 of the family's 1533-position model. Lineage: Bacteria; Pseudomonadati; Pseudomonadota; Gammaproteobacteria; Enterobacterales; Enterobacteriaceae. The record is from RNAcentral.